AACGAACGCUGGCGGCAUGCCUAACACAUGCAAGUCGAACGAGACCUUCGGGUCUAGUGGCGCACGGGUGCGUAACGCGUGGGAACCUGCCCUUAGGUUCGGAAUAACUCCCCGAAAGGGGUGCUAUUACCGGAUAAUGUCUUCGGACCAAAGAUUUAUCGCCUUUGGAUGGGCCCGCGUUGGAUUAGCUAGUUGGUAGGGUAAAAGCCUACCAAGGCGACGAUCCAUAGCUGGUCUGAGAGGAUGAUCAGCCACACUGGGACUGAGACACGGCCCAGACUCCUACGGGAGGCAGCAGUGGGGAAUAUUGGACAAUGGGCGAAAGCCUGAUCCAGCAAUGCCGCGUGAGUGAUGAAGGCCUUAGGGUUGUAAAGCUCCUUUACCCGGGAUGAUAAUGACAGUACCGGGAGAAUAAGCUCCGGCUAACUCCGUG
RNAcentral lists this ribosomal RNA (433 nucleotides) under uncultured bacterium. RNAcentral's name for it is "partial 16S ribosomal RNA". It matches the Rfam family "Bacterial small subunit ribosomal RNA", at positions 29 to 507 of the family's 1533-position model. The record is from RNAcentral.